This is an unclassified non-coding RNA of 707 nucleotides. The stretch from base 121 to 275 matches the Rfam family "5.8S ribosomal RNA".
UCAAAAAAAAAGGCGAACGUUUGGGCUUCGYCCUGAUUUAGUAGUCUUUUUUCUUUUAAACCCAUUCCUUAAUACUGAAUAUACUGUGGGGACGAAAGUCUCUGCUUUUAACUAGAUAGCAACUUUCAGCAGUGGAUGUCUAGGCUCGCACAUCGAUGAAGAACGCUGCGAACUGCGAUACGUAAUGCGAAUUGCAGGAUUCAGUGAGUCAUCGAAAUUUUGAACGCAUAUUGCACUUCCGGGUUAGUCCUGGAAGUAUGCCUGUAUCAGUGUCCGUACAUUAAACUUGACUUUCUUCCUUCCGUGUAGUCGGUGGAGGAGAUGUCAGAUGUGAAGUGUCUUGCGAUUGGUCUUCGGACCGGCUGCGAGUCCUUUUAAAUGUACUAAACUGAACUUCUCUUUGCUCGAAAAGUGGUGGCGUUGCUGGUUGUGAAGGCUGCUAUUGUGGCAAAUUGGCGACUGGUUUGUCUGCUGCGGCAUUAAUGGAAGAGUGUUCGAUUCGUGGUAUGGUUGGCUUCGGCUGAACAAUGCACUUAUUGGACGUUUUUCCUGCUGUGGCGUGAUGGACUGGUGAACCAUAGCUCGGUGGCUUGGCUUUUGAAUUGGCUUUGCUGUUGCGAAGUAGGGUGGCAGCUUCGGUUGUCGAGGGUCGAUCCAUUUGGGAACUUAAUGUGUACUUCGGUAUGCAUCUCAAUUGGACCUGAUAU